CCUACGGUGGGCAGCAGUGGGGGAUAUUGGACAAUGGGGGGAACCCUGAACCAGCGACGCCGCGUGAGUGAAGACGUAUCUCGGUAUGUAAAGCUCUAUCAGCAGGGAAGCAGAAAUGACGGUACCUGAGUAGGCAGCCCCGGCUAACUACGAACCAGCAGCUGCGGUAAUCCGUAGGGCGCCAGCGUUAUCCGGAAUUACUGGGUGUAAAGGGAGCGUAGACGGUGGUGUAAGUCUGGAGUGAAAGGCGGGGGCCCAACCCCCGGACUGCGGUGGAAACUCUGUGACUGGAGUGCAGGAGAGGUGUGCGGAAUGCCUAGUGUAGCGGUGAAAUGCGUAGAUAUUAGGAGGAACACCAGUGGCGAAGGCGGCUCACUGGACCGUAACUGACGUUGAUGCUCGAAAGCGUGGGGAGCAAACAGGAUUAGAUACCCCGGUUGUC
This 442-nucleotide ribosomal RNA is filed under the name uncultured bacterium. RNAcentral describes it as "partial 16S ribosomal RNA". It matches the Rfam family "Bacterial small subunit ribosomal RNA", at positions 338 to 795 of the family's 1533-position model. The record is from RNAcentral.